ACUCCUACGGGAGGCAGCAGUAGGGAAUCUUCCACAAUGGGCGCAAGCCUGAUGGAGCAACACCGCGUGAGUGAAGAAGGGUUUCGGCUCGUAAAGCUCUGUUGUUAAAGAAGAACACGUAUGAGAGUAACUGUUCAUACGUUGACGGUAUUUAACCAGAAAGUCACGGCUAACUACGUGCCAGCAGCCGCGGUAAUACGUAGGUGGCAAGCGUUAUCCGGAUUUAUUGGGCGUAAAGAGAGUGCAGGCGGUUUUCUAAGUCUGAUGUGAAAGCCUUCGGCUUAACCGGAGAAGUGCAUCAGAAACUGGAUAACUUGAGUGCAGAAGAGGGUAGUGGAACUCCAUGUGUAGCGGUGGAAUGCGUAGAUAUAUGAAAGAACACCAGUGGCGAAGGCGGCUACCUGGUCUGCAACUGACGCUGAGACUCGAAAGCAUGGGUAGCGAACAGGAUUAGAUACCCUGGUAGGAUAGCG
RNAcentral lists this ribosomal RNA (473 nucleotides) under uncultured bacterium. RNAcentral's name for it is "bacterial SSU rRNA". It matches the Rfam family "Bacterial small subunit ribosomal RNA", at positions 335 to 801 of the family's 1533-position model. The record is from RNAcentral.